CUCGUAGGCGGCCAACUAAGUCAUACGUGAAAUCCCUCAGCUUAACUGGGGAACUGCGUGUGAUACUGGAUGGCUUGGAUUUGGGAGAGGGAUGCGGAAUUCCAGGUGUAGCGGUGAAAUGCGUAGAUAUCUGGAGGAACACCGGUGGCGAAGGCGGCAUCCUGGACCAAUAUUGACGCUGAGGAGCGAAAAGCCAGGGGAGCAAACG
This 208-nucleotide ribosomal RNA is filed under the name uncultured bacterium. RNAcentral describes it as "partial 16S ribosomal RNA". It matches the Rfam family "Bacterial small subunit ribosomal RNA", at positions 568 to 774 of the family's 1533-position model. The record is from RNAcentral.